GACGAACGCUGGCGGCGUGCUUAACACAUGCAAGUCGAACGGAAAGGCCCUGCUUUUGUGGGGUGCUCGAGUGGCGAACGGGUGAGUAACACGUGAGUAACCUGCCCUUGACUUUGGGAUAACUUCAGGAAACUGGGGCUAAUACCGGAUAGGAGCUCCUGCUGCAUGGUGGGGGUUGGAAAGUUUCGGCGGUUGGGGAUGGACUCGCGGCUUAUCAGCUUGUUGGUGGGGUAGUGGCUUACCAAGGCUUUGACGGGUAGCCGGCCUGAGAGGGUGACCGGCCACAUUGGGACUGAGAUACGGCCCAGACUCCUACGGGAGGCAACAGUGGGGAAUAUUGCACAAUGGGCGGAAGCCUGAUGCAGCAACGCCGCGUGCGGGGUGACGGCCUUCGGGUUGUAAACCGCUUUCGCCUGUGACGAAGCGUGAGUGACGGUAAUGGGUAAAGAAGCACCGGCUAACUACGUGCCAGCAGCCGCGGUGAUACGUAGGGUGCGAGCGUUGUCCGGAUUUAUUGGGCGUAAAGGGCUCGUAGGUGGUUGAUCGCGUCGGAAGUGUAAUCUUGGGGCUUAACCCUGAGCGUGCUUUCGAUACGGGUUGACUUGAGGAAGGUAGGGGAGAAUGGAAUUCCUGGUGGAGCGGUGGAAUGCGCAGAUAUCAGGAGGAACACCAGUGGCGAAGGCGGUUCUCUGGGCCUUUCCUGACGCUGAGGAGCGAAAGCGUGGGGAGCGAACAGGCUUAGAUACCCUGGUAGUCCACGCUGUAAACGGUGGGUACUAGGUGUGGGGUCCAUUCCACGGGUUCCGUGCCGUAGCUAACGCUUUAAGUACCCCGCCUGGGGAGUACGGCCGCAAGGCUAAAACUCAAAGGAAUUGACGGGGCCCCGCACAAGCGGCGGAGCAUGCGGAUUAAUUCGAUGCAACGCGUAGAACCUUACCUGGGUUUGACAUGGAUCGGGAGUGCUCAGAGAUGGGUGUGCCUCUUUUGGGGUCGGUUCACAGGUGGUGCAUGGCUGUCGUCAGCUCGUGUCGUGAGAUGUUGGGUUAAGUCCCGCAACGAGCGCAACCCUUGUUCACUGUUGCCAGCACGUUAUGGUGGGGACUCAGUGGAGACCGCCGGGGUCAACUCGGAGGAAGGUGGGGAUGACGUCAAGUCAUCAUGCCCCUUAUGUCCAGGGCUUCACGCAUGCUACAAUGGCUGGUACAGAGAGUGGCGAGCCUGUGAGGGUGAGCGAAUCUCGGAAAGCCGGUCUCAGUUCGGAUUGGGGUCUGCAACUCGACCUCAUGAAGUCGGAGUCGCUAGUAAUCGCAGAUCAGCAACGCUGCGGUGAAUACGUUCCCGGGGCU
Molecule: ribosomal RNA, 1346 nt
Filed under: uncultured bacterium
Lineage: Bacteria
Description: partial 16S ribosomal RNA
Rfam family: Bacterial small subunit ribosomal RNA
Source: RNAcentral